AUUGCUGUAGUUGAGGGGGUUGAUCAUUAUAUAGCAGUACUAGUAGGACCGGCUACAAUUAGCCUGCGUGUUUCCUUUCACUUUCCGUCCUUUUAAGCAUGCAAUCACGCUAUCAUGACAACCUUCUUAUCCCCGAUGUGUUGACGUUAGUGUGGGUUUUUUUCUGGCACAUAGCGGCCACCAAAGGGGUCCUAGUUGAGUUGAGUUCUCGCCGGAGAAGUGGAAGUUCGCAGACAGACAAAUGCGUCUGUGAUAGAUCAAGCAAUGAUGAAUUAAAAUUUUCGAAAAUUCCUUCAAGAGCAAAGAAGGUUAAAUGAUAAUGUCAUUGCCACGUUUAUUGAAGAGAAGAUUGAUUGCUACGCUGUCCAUGCAAUGACAGAUCAGAAGCUGACAGAAUAUGUUCCCAAAAUUGGAGAAUGAAUUGCAAUAUAUCAGUACUGCAGAAGAGAAGUGGCUGUGUUUGAAGUAACCAACACAACCAUAUCCAAAGCUACUGAAUCUUUGAUUUAAAAAAUUAAACAAAAGCGGGGAUCCAACAAUGGCCUUACAGAUGAGCGUGUGAAAGAACUUUCUGGUAAUUCUAAUUAUAAGAACAACACAAUUGUCAAAUGGGCCUAUUGGAAGAGAAUCAGGGCAGAUUUGUGCAGGUGAGACAGAGAAGAGGGUGAGGCACAAGACAUUCAAAGGCCGCAAAGAAUACAACAAUGUCAGAAUUAAUAGCAAUAGGCAAAACACCUAACCCUUUUUCCAGAUGGAAAAUCAAAACUAGGCAGGGAAAGUGAUUUCGAAUGUUCAAUGCGAGACUUCACCGAAGAAAUGCUUGAGCCACAAACAACUUUAGGUGAGCAGUAUGAAAAGCGAAAGGUGAAAACAUUACAACUUUAUUUGUCAUGCUGUCUUCAGACAUACCUUUGCUGAUUAUGCCACUUAUGAUGUUGAUGACCCCCUCGACGACACCGUCCCCAUGGAGCUCUUAGAACUGGAAAAUCCACCUCCAACUUAAGAAUUUCAUCCACUUAAAGUAACAAAGCUUAAGCUGCACAGGGGAAAUGUUUUCACUGAGUUGAAUACAGCCUUUCAAAAUGGCAGUGUAUCUGUUGAUGAGCUGCUGGUCCCAGCUAUCAUCAGGCAGGAGGCGGGGUUCACCCUGUACUGGUUGACAGCCAAUCGCAGGGCACAUACAAACAAACAACCAUUCGCACUCACAUUCACACCUACAGGCAAUUUAGAGUUGUCAAUUAACCUACCAUGCGUGUUUUUGGGAUGUGGGAGGAAACCGGAGUGCCCGGAGAAAACCCACACAGGCACGGGGAGAACAUGCAAACUCCACACAGGAGGGGAUUGAACCCCGGUCCUCAGAACUGUGAGGCAGACGAUCUAACCAGUCGUCCAGCGUGCCGCAUUAUUAUUAUUAUUAUUAUUAUCCAUCCAUCCAUCCAUUUUAUACACUGCUUAUCCUCACUAGGGUCUGGAGCCCAUCCCAGCUAUCUUCGGGCGAGAGGCGCGGGGUACACCCUGAACUGGUCGCAGGGCACAUACAAACAAACAACCAGUCGCACUCACAUUCACACCUACGGGCAAUUUUGAGUUUUAAAUUAACCUACCAUGCAUGUUUUUGGAACGUGGGAGGAAACUGGAGUACCUGGAGAAAACCCACACAGGCAAGGGGAGAACUUGCCAACUCCACACAGGCAAGGCCGGAUUUGAACCCGGGUCCUCAGAACUGUGAGGCAGAUGUGCUAACCAGUCAUUCACCGU
Phyllopteryx taeniolatus (common seadragon) is the source of this 1758-nucleotide long non-coding RNA. RefSeq lists it as uncharacterized. The record is from RefSeq and is a predicted model, not a curated record. The transcript is spliced from 3 exons. NCBI's taxonomy places the organism in Eukaryota, Metazoa, Chordata, Actinopteri, Syngnathiformes, Syngnathidae.